Molecule: microRNA precursor, 206 nt
Organism: Oryza rufipogon (brownbeard rice)
Lineage: Eukaryota; Viridiplantae; Streptophyta; Magnoliopsida; Poales; Poaceae
Rfam family: MIR812 microRNA precursor family
Source: Rfam
AAAAAGGCAAACCCUGGGUUUCCGUGUCUAACUUUGACUGUCCGUCUUAUAUGAAAUUUUUUUAUAAUCCGUAUUUUUAUUGUUGUUAGAUGAUAAAACAUGAUUAAUACUUUGUGCGUGACUUGUCUUUUUAAUUUUUUUUAUAAUUUUUUUAAAUAAGACGAACGGUCAAAUGUUGGGCACGGAAACCAAGGUUUGUCUUUUUU